Tripterygium wilfordii is the source of this 658-nucleotide long non-coding RNA. RefSeq lists it as uncharacterized. The record is from RefSeq and is a predicted model, not a curated record. NCBI's taxonomy places the organism in Eukaryota, Viridiplantae, Streptophyta, Magnoliopsida, Celastrales, Celastraceae. The transcript has 4 exons.
AACAAUAUAUAUACAUAAACAACUAAAAGUAAAUAAAUUAAUAAAAUAAUAAAAAAAAAAAUUAAUAAAAGGGGUGAAGGUCGCAGACCUUCACCCGUAAGCUAAAAGAAAAAAAAAUAAACAAAAGCAGACCUUCUCCUCACUUCACCACCUCCGGUCAGCCACCUCCGGCGGCAUUCCGGCGACUUUUCCGGCCAGUAAAGGUGCUCCAACUUUGAGACCUACACUCACACUUCACUUGAGAAGGAUUUAAGGUCCAAGGGAGGUUUUUGAACAAAUUCAAGAGAAGCUUUUGUUAAAUUGAUUUGGUAGAAUUACCAAGCUUCAAGGUUAGGGAAUUGGCGUGACGUGUACUUUGCUUUCUUGGUGAGGAUUGCGUGGUUACUUCGAGGUGAGACAGGAUCUAGUGCACAGGCUGCGGAUCAGCAGGAGGACGCGUGACGGAGGUGGCCUGGACUUUUGUGGUUAUGUGACACUUGCGUGUGAACUUAUAUAUAUGUAUGGUGUGAUGUUGAUAUGUUUUAGUAAUUUAUGUACAUUGAUGUAUGGUGUUGAUUUUGUUGGCCGGAAGUGGUGGCUGUAGGGUGUGUUUGAUGAUGAUGAUGGGAUAUGUGUUUGAUGGUGGACCUACGGGUCGGUGGAUGUUGAUGAUUUUAGA